UUUUAAAUAAGUGCGUUAAGGAUUGAAAUGGCAUCCUUUUUUUCUUUUUCAGAAAAAAAGAUACAAUGGAAAGCCUGUUAAAAC
Molecule: small RNA, 84 nt
Filed under: Polaribacter atrinae
Lineage: Bacteria; Pseudomonadati; Bacteroidota; Flavobacteriia; Flavobacteriales; Flavobacteriaceae
Description: Flavo-1 RNA
Rfam family: Flavo-1 RNA
Source: Rfam by way of RNAcentral